UAUUCUUCCGGUACCGUCAUCCCCCCGCCGUAUUAGGGCAGAGGUUUUCUUUCCGGACAAAAGUGCUUUACAACCCGAAGGCCUUCUUCACACACGCGGCAUUGCUGGAUCAGGCUUGCGCCCAUUGUCCAAAAUUCCCCACUGCUGCCUCCCGUAGGAGUCUGGGCCGUGUCUCAGUCCCAGUGUGGCUGGUCGUCCUCUCAGACCAGCUACAGAUCGUCGCCUUGGUAGGCCUUUACCCCACCAACUAGCUAAUCUGCCAUCGGCCGCCCCUGUAGCGAGAGGUCSUAAGAUCCCCCCCUUUCCUCCGUAGAGCGUAUGCGGUAUUAAUCCGGCUUUCGCCGGGCUAUCCCCCACUACAGGACACGUUCCGAUGUAUUACUCACCCCGUUCGCCACUCGCCACCAGGGUUGCCCCCGUGCUGCCGUUCGACUUGCAUGUGUAAGGCAUGCCGCCACCGUUUCAAUCUGAACCAAGAAUCAAACUCUGUCGACAUCCA
RNAcentral lists this ribosomal RNA (499 nucleotides) under Pasture soil clone HPS-45. RNAcentral's name for it is "partial 16S ribosomal RNA". The record is from RNAcentral.